This 706-nucleotide ribosomal RNA is filed under the name uncultured Enterobacteriaceae bacterium. RNAcentral's name for it is "bacterial SSU rRNA". It matches the Rfam family "Bacterial small subunit ribosomal RNA", at positions 795 to 1502 of the family's 1533-position model. Lineage: Bacteria; Pseudomonadati; Pseudomonadota; Gammaproteobacteria; Enterobacterales; Enterobacteriaceae. The record is from RNAcentral.
UCACGCUGUAAACGAUGUCGAUUUGGAGUUUGUUGCCUAGAGUGAUGGGCUCCGAAGCUAACGCGAUAAAUCGACCGCUGGGGAGUACGGCCGCAAGGUUAAAACUCAAAUGAAUUGACGGGGGCCCGCACAAGCGGUGGAGCAUGUGGUUUAAUUCGAUGCAACGCGAAGAACCUUACCUGGUCUUGACAUCCAUAGAAUUCUGCAGAGAUGUGGGAGUGCCUUCGGGAACUAUGAGACAGGUGCUGCAUGGCUGUCGUCAGCUCGUGUUGUGAAAUGUUGGGUUAAGUCCCGCAACGAGCGCAACCCUUAUUCUUUGUUGCCAGCGAUUUGGUCGGGAACUCAAAGGAGACUGCCGUUGAUAAAGCGGAGGAAGGUGGGGACGACGUCAAGUCAUCAUGGCCCUUACGACCAGGGCUACACACGUGCUACAAUGGCGUAUACAAAGGGAAGCGAAGGUGCGAGCUGGAGCGGAUCUCAUAAAGUACGUCUAAGUUCGGAUUGGAGUCUGCAACUCGACUCCAUGAAGUCGGAAUCGCUAGUAAUCGUAGAUCAGAAUGCUACGGUGAAUACGUUCCCGGGCCUUGUACACACCGCCCGUCACACCAUGGGAGUGGGUUGCACCAGAAGUAGAUAGCUUAACCGCGAGGGGGGCGUUUACCACGGUGUGAUUCAUGACUGGGGUGAAGUCGUAACAAGGUAACCA